This 226-nucleotide ribosomal RNA is filed under the name uncultured bacterium. Its description in RNAcentral is "partial 16S ribosomal RNA". It matches the Rfam family "Bacterial small subunit ribosomal RNA", at positions 118 to 341 of the family's 1533-position model. The record is from RNAcentral.
UGAGGAAUCUGUCCAUCGGCGGGGGAUAGCCCGGCCCAACGGCCGGGUAAUACCGCGUACGACCACAUGGGGACAUCCCUGAGUGGUGAAAGCAGCAAUGCGCCGAUGGAGUGCCUCGCGGCCUAUCAGCUAGUUGGUGAGGUAACGGCUCACCAAGGCGACGACGGGUANCUGGUCUGAGAGGAUGGCCAGCCACAUUGGGACUGAGACACGGCCCAGAUCCGUA